UGGGGAAUAUUGGGCAAUGGGCGAAAGCCUGACCCAGCAACGCCGCGUGAAGGAAGAAGGUUUUCGGAUUGUAAACUUCUGUCCUCAGGGAAGAAGGACGUGACGGUACCUGAGGAGGAAGCCCCGGCUAACUACGUGCCAGCAGCCGCGGUAAUACGUAGGGGGCGAGCGUUGUCCGGAAUGACUGGGCGUAAAGGGCGCGUAGACGGCUGUCUAAGUCUGGAGUGAAAGUCCUGUUUUCAAGGCGGGAAUUGCUUUGGAGACUGGAUGGCUUGAGUGCGGAAGAGGUAAGUGGAAUUCCCAGUGUAGCGGUGAAAUGCGUAGAGAUUGGGAGGAACACCAGUGGCGAAGGCGACUUACUGGGCCGUAACUGACGUUGAAGCGCGAAAGCGUGGGGAGCGAACAG
Molecule: ribosomal RNA, 406 nt
Filed under: uncultured bacterium
Lineage: Bacteria
Description: bacterial SSU rRNA
Rfam family: Bacterial small subunit ribosomal RNA
Source: RNAcentral